This is a long non-coding RNA of Vespa mandarinia (Asian giant hornet), 1329 nucleotides long. The record is from RefSeq and is a predicted model, not a curated record. Lineage: Eukaryota; Metazoa; Arthropoda; Insecta; Hymenoptera; Vespidae.
ACCCAUGCUGGAGAUUUUGCAUAAAAAAAAAAUCAGACUCAUAUGAAAUCCCAGAAUCUGGAUUAUUAGAAUUUCUGUUACUGAGGUUUGGGACAGGAUCUUCCUACGGAACCUUAAAUUCAAUGCAAGUAGCUAUAUCUUUGAUAUCUAAGUUUAUCGUCUAACGUAUUAAUCAACAGAUUUUCUUCUGAAAAAGCAUUCUCCCUCUCUCUCUCUCUCUCUCCUUCUCCCUCUUUCCCUCUCUCCCUCCCCCCUCUCUCUCUUACUCUCUUACGCAUAUUAUCACAUAGCUAGCUAGUACCCAUCUUUCACAAAGGUAAAUACAUCCAAGUAACAGAAACUAUGAGAGAAGGUGGAGAAGAAGAUGGUGGUACAGAUGUAGGUGAAGGAGGAAGAGGUGGUGAAAAUGUAUGUGGAGUAGGAGGAGGAAAGUGGAAAAGAGAAGGAGAGAGAGAAAUAGAGAGAAAAGUAUAAUUCGAAUACCAACUCAGAUGACAUAUUCGAUCCAGCCUCGCAUCCGUAUAUUUUGCAAAACCAGAAUCAUUUUUACCAGUACCGAGAGAGCUUGAUCUAGGAACAAUUAGUCAGAGUCUAUCGAAAUUAAUGAUGUGCCAUGGGCAUACAUAUAACAGAGUCUAGGAGAAAUAUUGUAUAUAAGAAUUUGGUAAAGACUCCCGUAAGAAUUUAAUACGUGAAAAUCACUCGUAAACUUUAGGAGGUCACAAGGGGAUAACAAGAACUACAACAGAAUGAGACAGAAAUACUUGUGGGCAUGUAUAAAACAUCAGAUUCAAGUUUUCAUGUAAAAUCGCUUAGACUGCCAAUUGAAGGAAUUCGUUAGGGUCAACAUUUGAUAAAGUUGGGUUAGAUGUAAUGGGUACUCUCUCUCAGACUUAGAAAGGAAAUAAAUAUAUCAUUACCUAUCAUAAACACUACUUUUAUUGACAUAGCAAAUGAUACCAAAUUGAAUAUGUAAAUUGGAAACACCACGCUCCAUCUUAUCGGAUCAGGCCGCUAACUAUUGACAUUCUUUGAUAAAAGCGAUAGCACGCAAAUUCAAAAUCAGACAGUAUAGAAAAUGGCGUUCUUUCCUCAAUCUAAUGGGUCUAUCGAGUUGUCGCAUCAAGUAUUAGUAGAAUAUCUGAAACAAUUUACUAUCAGGGAAAAGGAUUGGGACGAAUGGCUAGAUACUGAGAUGCUCUUGUACAGCACAUGAGAGAACACGCUUUACAUCCAAUGAACUUAUAUUCGGUAGAGUGAUUUGGAUGCCGACAUCUGAUCCGCCAUUAGACGAUGACAUGAUUAAACAUAAUUGGAAAAUAUUCCAAG